CCUACGGGGGGCAGCAGUGAGGAAUAUUGGUCAAUGGGCGCGAGCCUGAACCAGCAACGUCGCGUGAAGGAUGACUGCCCUACGGGUUGUAAACUUCUUUUAUAAAGGAAUAAAGUGAGGCACGUGUGCCUUUUUGUAUGUACUUUAUGAAUAAGGAUCGCCUAACUCCGUGACAGCAGCCGCGGUAAUACGGAGGAUACGAGCGUUCUCCGGAUUUAUUGGGUUUAAAGGGAGCGUAGAUGGGUUGUUAAGUCAGUUGUGAAAGUUUGCGGCUCAACCGUAAAAUUGCAAUUGAUACUGGCAGUCUUGAGUACAGUAGAGGAAGGUGGAAUUCGUGGUGUAGCGGUGAAAUGCGGAGAUAUCACGAAGAACUCCGAUUGCGAAGGCAGCUUACUAAACUGCCACUGACAUUGAUGCUCGAAAGUGUGGGGAUCAAACAGGAUUAGAUACCCUAGUAGUC
RNAcentral lists this ribosomal RNA (460 nucleotides) under uncultured bacterium. Its description in RNAcentral is "partial 16S ribosomal RNA". It matches the Rfam family "Bacterial small subunit ribosomal RNA", at positions 338 to 795 of the family's 1533-position model. The record is from RNAcentral.